Molecule: ribosomal RNA, 465 nt
Filed under: uncultured bacterium
Lineage: Bacteria
Description: bacterial SSU rRNA
Rfam family: Bacterial small subunit ribosomal RNA
Source: RNAcentral
AACCGAGAACUCCUACGGGAGGUAGCAGUGGGGAAUAUUGCACAAUGGGCGAAAGCCUGAUGCAGCGACGCCGCGUGAGGGAUGACGGCCUUCGGGUUGUAAACCUCUUUCAGCAGGGAAGAAGCGAAAGUGACGGUACCUGCAGAAGAAGCACCGGCUAACUACGUGUCAGCAGCCGCGGUAAUACGUAGGGUGCGAGCGUUGUCCUGAAUUAUUGGGCGUAAAGAGCUUGUAGUCGGUUUGUCGCGUCUGCUGUGAAAAUCCGGGGCUUAACCCCGGACUUGCAGUGGGUACGGGCAGACUAUAGUGUGGUAGGGGAGACUGGAAUUCCUGGUGUAGCGGUGAAAUGCGCAGAUAUCAGGAGGAACACCGAUGGCGAAGGCAGGUCUCUGGGCCAUCACUGACGCUGAGAAGCGAAAGCAUGGGGAGCGAACAGGAUUAGAAACCCGAGUAGUCCGACUGAGA